UACGGGGGGUGCGAGCGUUGUCCGGAAUCACUGGGCGUAAAGGGCGCGUAGGUGGCCUGGUAAGUCUGUGGUGAAAGCCCGGAGCUCAACUCCGGGUCUGCCGCGGAUACUGCGAGGCUUGAGUGCUGUAGAGGGGGGUAGAAUGCCGGGUGUAGCGGUGGAAUGCGUAGAGAUCCGGCAGAAGACCGGUGGCGAAGGCGGCCCCCUGGGCAGUAACUGACGCUGAGGAGCGAAAGCGUGGGGAGCGAACAGG
RNAcentral lists this ribosomal RNA (253 nucleotides) under uncultured bacterium. RNAcentral describes it as "partial 16S ribosomal RNA". It matches the Rfam family "Bacterial small subunit ribosomal RNA", at positions 524 to 776 of the family's 1533-position model. The record is from RNAcentral.